Molecule: long non-coding RNA, 883 nt
Organism: Cyprinus carpio carpio
Lineage: Eukaryota; Metazoa; Chordata; Actinopteri; Cypriniformes; Cyprinidae
Source: Ensembl
UACAGGGAUUUUCUGGCUCUAGGGGAGGGGGGGAUGGACUUCAAGACCCAAGGCUGAGCUGUUAGCACGCAGGAGUUCUAGCUCUCAGGUAAGUACAGAAUUCAAUACAUAAGUGGGUAUCCACAAGGCUGGGCUAUUAGUGUGCUGGGGUUCUAGCUCUCAGGUAAGCACAAAGUUCAAUACACAGGUGAGUAUUCACAGGGCUGGGCUGUUAGCGUGCAGGGGUUCUAGCUCUCAGGUAAGCACAAAGUUCAAUACACAGGUGAGUAUUCACAGGGCUGGGCUGUUAGCGUGCAGGGGUUCUAGCUCUCAGGUAAGCACAAAGUUCAAUACACAGGUGAGUAUUCACAGGGCUGGGCUGUUAGCGUGCAGGGGUUCUAGCUCUCAGGUAAGCACAAAGUUCAAUACACAGGUGAGUAUUCACAGGGCUGGGCUGUUAGCGUGCAGGGGUUCUAGCUCUCAGGUAAGCACAAAGUUCAAUACACAGGUGAGUAUUCACAGGGCUGGGCUGUUAGCGUGCUACUCACCACUGAAGAUAUUCAGAGGUCGGUGUUCCCAGCGGAUACGGGUUUUGGUCGAUGACUGACGGCUGGUGGGCCUUACAGGUGAAACUGCGAACAACACUGGGCUUCCCACCCAGCUUGGCAAGGGGACACACGGGGGAGGAUCGGCUGCUGUCCUUCGCUUCCCUCGUCGAAGAGACAGCACAGACGACACGCACAAGGCCGGUGGUUGCUAACAAGGCCAAUGACACAACGUCACGUGGAUGAAAAGGUAAGGCUUUGAUUUGAAAGCUUACAGAGAUCGCUGUGUGGGCGACGUCAUCCAACCUCCUCCAGAGGCGCCUCCAACACGUCCAAGCUCCAGCUUACUUAAAGGAAAG